UAACUGUGCCUCUGUGGGUUAUGUUUCUUCUGGCCCAAAGAACUUGCUUCCAAAGCUGAACCGUGAGGCUUUGUAUUUUGGGCCUGUUUUCAUGGGGUGUGUGCCCAACAUGGUGGUAGGUCCAAGAAAUCCACUCUAAAGGACAAGGCAUACACAGAGGAGUGUGGAUAAAAGACGUAUCACUGUCCUGACCGUAGUUUUAAGACUGUUUAAGAGGGUGAAACCCAUCUGUCCCCUUCUUGCCUUGUCUUCUAUCACAUAAUAUCGAGCUGCUGAGGGCCACUAUGACCUGAGCAUUCACUGCAAGACGGGGAGAGGAAAAAGGAGCAAGAUACAGCAUCUCUGAGCUUCAAAAGUAGAGGUGGAGAAGUGGAGAUUUGCCUCCUGCCUUUCCUAGCCCAGCCCUGACCACUCCACUUCAGUCUGGAUCACAGUAGCAGAUGAGACUCGAGUUUGAAGCCUUGUGAAGUGUCCUCACAUACUGAAGUUCCUCAGGGGGCAAGUUGAACAGGAUAGAUGCUAGCUCUGAUGGUGCAUCCAUUAGUGGUGGGAAAUGGGUCUUAUUGUCCUGACCUGCAAAUGUAGGACUGUACCAGGCAUAACCAAAAGGGUUUUUUGUCUUUAUUUGCAGGAGCUCUGUUUUUCCAACUCUGUGUGCUAUUGAUUUGGUGUAUGGAUGCACUAGUGAAAGGGAGCUGACAGCUUUACUUUCUAUACCCUGAUGCUUGCUUCCAAAGGCUCAUCUGAACUUCCCUCAGUAUCCAGAAUGACUUAGCUAAAAUGAUAACAAAGACAGACAUGCAGGCAUCUGCAGUCUGAUACAGCUCUGGCUGUGCCAGCCCAAAACCACAUUGCUGUCUUAGACAUGAAAUGGAUUACGGGCACGUUGUGUGCUUUACAUCUUUUUUUUUCAGGUAAGCUCCAGUUUGUACAAACUGUUCCAUUUUCUGUUAUACAAAAGCGCCCCUAACUUUGCUCAGCUCUGGCUCCGGCAUUUCUCUAUUUUAAUAGAACAUUUGGAACGGCAGAGGGAGUGCAAGAGCAAGGAAAAAGAAGUGAACACACUGAAUGUAAGAAGUUUGGUCCCCCAGAUUCAUGGGAAUUCGAUUGAAGAUUUGAUUGAUUGGGUAUUUCUUGGAAGACCUGACAGAACAAGACUUCAUGCCCAUAUUAUGGAGGAAACUGCACAACUGGAAUGAACUGGGAGCAAAUCCUUGCCAGACAGUCCCAAGCAGAGGCUGAGUUG
RNAcentral lists this long non-coding RNA (1246 nucleotides) under Coturnix japonica (Japanese quail). Its description in RNAcentral is "lncRNA (ENSCJPG00005010456.1)". The record is from RNAcentral. Lineage: Eukaryota; Metazoa; Chordata; Aves; Galliformes; Phasianidae.